AGGAUCAUUACCGAGUGAGGGCCCUCUGGGUCCAACCUCCCACCCGUGUCUAUCGUACCUUGUUGCUUCGGCGGGCCCGCCGUUUCGACGGCCGCCGGGGAGGCCUUGCGCCCCCGGGCCCGCGCCCGCCGAAGACCCCAACAUGAACGCUGUUCUGAAAGUAUGCAGUCUGAGUUGAUUAUCGUAAUCAGUUAAAACUUUCAACAACGGAUCUCUUGGUUCCGGCAUCGAUGAAGAACGCAGCGAAAUGCGAUAAGUAAUGUGAAUUGCAGAAUUCAGUGAAUCAUCGAGUCUUUGAACGCACAUUGCGCCCCCUGGUAUUCCGGGGGGCAUGCCUGUCCGAGCGUCAUUGCUGCCCUCAAGCACGGCUUGUGUGUUGGGCCCCCGUCCCCCUCUCCCGGGGGACGGGCCCGAAAGGCAGCGGCGGCACCGCGUCCGGUCCUCGAGCGUAUGGGGCUUUGUCACCUGCUCUGUAGGCCCGGCCGGCGCCAGCCGWCACCCAACUUUAUUUUUCUAAGGUUGACCUCGGAUCAGGUAGGGAUACCCGCUGAACUUAAG
This 558-nucleotide ribosomal RNA is filed under the name Aspergillus fumigatus. RNAcentral describes it as "eukaryotic LSU rRNA". Lineage: Eukaryota; Fungi; Ascomycota; Eurotiomycetes; Eurotiales; Aspergillaceae. The record is from RNAcentral.